GUCCCGCCCACUGACCGGUCUGCAGACUCACACAAAUACAGUUGUGUGCUUCAUAAAAAUGCACUCAGAUGCGUCAAAUUUCCAGCUGAACUCUCAUUUGUCCACACUGGCCAGUAUCCACAAGAUCUACCACACCCUGCACAGGCUGUGUGAUUCUGGCGGGUAGGCC
Long non-coding RNA from Sinocyclocheilus grahami, 169 nucleotides. RefSeq lists it as uncharacterized. The record is from RefSeq and is a predicted model, not a curated record. The transcript has 3 exons. Lineage: Eukaryota; Metazoa; Chordata; Actinopteri; Cypriniformes; Cyprinidae.